Non-coding RNA from Pseudozyma hubeiensis SY62, 118 nucleotides. The record is from the annotation of a RefSeq genome assembly. Lineage: Eukaryota; Fungi; Basidiomycota; Ustilaginomycetes; Ustilaginales; Ustilaginaceae.
GCUUCUUUAGCUCAGUUGGUACGAGCGUUCGACUGAAGAUUUCAGUUCUUUGCAGCAAGAACCGUUAGGAACUCAGCCGCCAUUCGAAAGGUCACCUGUUCGACCCAGGUAAGGAGCA